This 490-nucleotide ribosomal RNA is filed under the name uncultured bacterium. RNAcentral's name for it is "partial 16S ribosomal RNA". It matches the Rfam family "Bacterial small subunit ribosomal RNA", at positions 30 to 507 of the family's 1533-position model. The record is from RNAcentral.
AUUGAACGCUGGCGGCAGGCCUAACACAUGCAAGUCGAAUGGUAACAGGAAACAGCUUGCUGUUUCGCUGACGAGUGGCGGACGGGUGAGUCAUGUCUGGGAAACUGCCUGAUGGAGGGGGUUAACUACUGGAAACGGUAGCUAAUACCGCAUAACGUCGCAAGACCAAAGAGGGGGACCUUCGGGCCUCUUGCCAUCAGAUGUGCCCAGAUGGGAUUAGCUAGUAGGUGGGGUAACGGCUCACCUAGGCGACGAUCCCUAGCUGGUCUGAGAGGAUGACCAGCCACACUGGAACUGAGACACGGUCCAGACUCCUACGGGAGGCAGCAGUGGGGAAUAUUGCACAAUGGGCGCAAGCCUGAUGCAGCAAUGCCGCGUGUAUGAAGAAGGCCUUCGGGUUGUAAAGUACUUUCAGCGGGGAGGAAGGGAGUAAAGUUAAUACCUUUGCUCAUUGACGUUACCCGCAGAAGAAGCACCGGCUAACUCCGUG